UUGCUCACUUCAGCAGCACAUAUACUAAAAUUGAAACAAUACAGAGAAGAUUAGCAUGGCCCUUGCACAAGGAUGACACACAAAUGGUAUAGGUACAGACCAUUAUU
Molecule: small nuclear RNA, 107 nt
Organism: Sorex araneus (European shrew)
Lineage: Eukaryota; Metazoa; Chordata; Mammalia; Eulipotyphla; Soricidae
Source: Ensembl